RNAcentral lists this ribosomal RNA (433 nucleotides) under uncultured bacterium. RNAcentral describes it as "partial 16S ribosomal RNA". It matches the Rfam family "Bacterial small subunit ribosomal RNA", at positions 29 to 507 of the family's 1533-position model. The record is from RNAcentral.
AGCGAACGCUGGCGGCAGGCCUAACACAUGCAAGUCGAACGGAUCCUUCGGGAUUAGUGGCGGACGGGUGAGUAACACGUGGGAACGUGCCCUUUGGUUCGGAACAACUCAGGGAAACUUGAGCUAGUACCGGAUGUGCCCUUCGGGGGAAAGAUUUAUCGCCAUUGGAGCGGCCCGCGUCUGAUUAGCUAGUUGGUGAGGUAACGGCCCACCAAGGCGACGAUCAGUAGCUGGUCUGAGAGGAUGAUCAGCCACACUGGGACUGAGACACGGCCCAGACUCCUACGGGAGGCAGCAGUGGGGAAUCUUGCGCAAUGGGCGAAAGCCUGACGCAGCCAUGCCGCGUGAAUGAUGAAGGUCUUAGGAUUGUAAAAUUCUUUCAGCGGGGACGAUAAUGACGGUACCCGCAGAAGAAGCUCCGGCUAACUUCGUG